AGCUUUGCGCAGUGGCAGUUUCGCAGCCAAUGAGGUUUAUCCGAGGCGCGAUUAUUGCUAAUUCAAAUUACUUUCCAAAUAAAAAUACUGGUUGUGCUCAAUGAUGAUUUAGUAAUAAGUCGAUGUUAUAAAUUAA
Small nuclear RNA from Zalophus californianus (California sea lion), 136 nucleotides. Its record names the gene U4. It matches the Rfam family "U4 spliceosomal RNA". Rfam says of the family: U4 small nuclear RNA (U4 snRNA) is a component of the major U2-dependent spliceosome. The structure of U4 snRNA from yeast and human has been reported. The record is from Ensembl. NCBI's taxonomy places the organism in Eukaryota, Metazoa, Chordata, Mammalia, Carnivora, Otariidae.